Molecule: long non-coding RNA, 1179 nt
Filed under: Brassica napus (rape)
Lineage: Eukaryota; Viridiplantae; Streptophyta; Magnoliopsida; Brassicales; Brassicaceae
Description: long non-coding RNA (BNAP_LNC001358)
Source: RNAcentral
UUUGAGUCUUGUAAACCUGGUUUCUACAUAUUUCAAAUUAAAUACUACGAGUUGUUGCAAAUACCCAUUAUUAUUUUAUAUUGUGUCAUGAAAUGAUAAAUAGAAAUAUAACCCCAGAGAAAUGUCACAAAGGAUUGAAUACUCAAAUACAACCAAUUGAUAGAAAUAUGAAUUCAUAUUUUGAAGUUAUGACACCACCUCUAAAUAACAAAAGAAAACAGACAAAAUGUAACAAAAGAACUACUAAAUACACAAAAUGACACUCUUUGUGAACAUAUAAAUUAUUAAUUUUUAAUAAAUUUACUUUAACAGAAAAAUAUUAGUAUUUACUACAAUGAAAAUAAAUUGAAAUAAUGUACUUAUAAUAUGAUAGACUAAGGGUUUAACUGGUGACAAUUUUAGGAACAUCAUGAAAAAAUAUGAAAAGAAUAAAGAAGAAUAAAAUUAUAGGAAUUAAUAGAAAUUAUUGCUCCUUUCUAAAUUUAGUAAGAAAUAAUUUUGUUAUAUUAUUUUUUACAGAAAAAAUAAUAAGAAGAAUAUUAGUAAAAAAAUAUUCCUCGUAAAUUAUGUAAUUUUAUAAGAAUGAUAAGGAAUUGAAUUAUUUCUUGUAAUUGGUGAAUGUUCAUUUUCGUUUUCUUGGUCACCAUCUAGCUCUUUCAUUCAUAGGAUUCAAAUAGGAUCGGGUUUGUAUCAUAUAUGGCUGGGCCGGGCCAAAAUUGUUUAGUUAACAUCCCUGGAUGUGCUUAUUGUUAUGAUUAGGCUGGAAACAAAGCAAAAGAGGAAGGAUUUUCAUUUGUUGGGCAGAAGAGAUUUUCAUUUGAUUUGAUUUAUUUGGAUCAAUAGUGAAUCCAAGUGGGUCACUUCUGAAAUUCGUUUGGCCCAACUCUGAAACCCUUUUCCAGCUGUCGAAUUGGUGGCUUCUCCUUUUCAGAGUUUUCUCAAAAACAUUCGUUCCUUGAUAAUUUUCCUAUCCAAAUCAUAAAAUCAUUUUAAUGGAUGACUUUUCUUGCACUUUCACUUUACAAAUUACAACAUGCAUCUCAACUUGACUCCACAUUAUUGCCAUGCAUAAUAAUCAAAUCUCAUCAUUAUCAAAAUUUUAUCAUUACUGUCUACUUCAUCUGAACGAGUAUUCUAUACUGAGAGUUACCAAAAAAGUGUUAACUAAAUAGUUAACCC